Molecule: ribosomal RNA, 1344 nt
Filed under: Sinomonas soli
Lineage: Bacteria; Bacillati; Actinomycetota; Actinomycetes; Micrococcales; Micrococcaceae
Description: 16S ribosomal RNA
Rfam family: Bacterial small subunit ribosomal RNA
Source: RNAcentral
AAGCCCUUCGGGGUGGAUUAGUGGCGAACGGGUGAGUAACACGUGAGCAACCUGCCCUUGACUCUGGGAUAAGCCUGGGAAACUGGGUCUAAUACCGGAUACUACUUCCUGCCGCAUGGUGGGGGGUGGAAAGCCUUGUGCGGUCUUGGAUGGGCUCGCGGCCUAUCAGCUUGUUGGUGGGGUAAUGGCCUACCAAGGCGACGACGGGUAGCCGGCCUGAGAGGGUGACCGGCCACACUGGGACUGAGACACGGCCCAGACUCCUACGGGAGGCAGCAGUGGGGAAUAUUGCACAAUGGGCGGAAGCCUGAUGCAGCGACGCCGCGUGGGGGAUGACGGCCUUCGGGUUGUAAACCCCUUUCGGCAGGGAACAAGCCUUUCGGGGUGAGGGUACCUGCGGAAGAAGCGCCGGCUAACUACGUGCCAGCAGCCGCGGUAAUACGUAGGGCGCGAGCGUUAUCCGGAAUUAUUGGGCGUAGAGAGCUCGUAGGCGGUUUGUCGCGUCUGCUGUGAAAGCCCGGGGCUCAACCCCGGGUCUGCAGUGGGUACGGGCAGGCUGGAGUGCAGUAGGGGAGACUGGAAUUCCUGGUGUAGCGGUGAAAUGCGCAGAUAUCAGGAGGAACACCGAUGGCGAAAGGCAGGUCUCUGGGCUGUAACUGACGCUGAGGAGCGAAAGCAUGGGGAGCGAACAGGAUUAGAUACCCUGGUAGUCCAUGCCGUAAACGUUGGGCACUAGGUGUGGGGGCCAUUCCACGGUUUCCGCGCCGCAGCUAACGCAUUAAGUGCCCCGCCUGGGGAGUACGGCCGCAAGGCUAAAACUCAAAGGAAUUGACGGGGGCCCCGCACAAGCGGCGGAGCAUGCGGAUUAAUUCGAUGCAACGCGAAGAACCUUACCAAGGCUUGACAUGUGCCGGACCGUCCCAGAGAUGGGGCUUCCCUUCGGGGCCGGUUCACAGGUGGUGCAUGGUUGUCGUCAGCUCGUGUCGUGAGAUGUUGGGUUAAGUCCCGCAACGAGCGCAACCCUCGUUCCAUGUUGCCAGCACUUCGGGUGGGGACUCAUGGGAGACUGCCGGGGUCAACUCGGAGGAAGGUGGGGACGACGUCAAAUCAUCAUGCCCCUUAUGUCUUGGGCUUCACGCAUGCUACAAUGGCCGGUACAAAGGGUUGCGAUACUGUGAGGUGGAGCCAAUCCCAGAAAGCCGGUCUCAGUUCGGAUUGGGGUCUGCAACUCGACCCCAUGAAGUCGGAGUCGCUAGUAAUCGCAGAUCAGCAACGCUGCGGUGAAUACGUUCCCGGGCCUUGUACACACCGCCCGUCAAGUCACGAAAGUCGGUAACACCCGAA